CUACGGGACGCAGCAGUGAGGAAUAUUGCACAAUGGGGGGAACCCUGAUGCAGCAACGCCGCGUGGAGGAUGACGCAUUUCGGUGUGUAAACUCCUUUUAUAUGUCAAGAAAAUGACGGUAGCAUAUGAAUAAGCACCGGCUAACUCCGUGCCAGCAGCCGGCGGUAAUACGGAGGGUGCAAGCGUUACUCGGAAUCACUGGGCGUAAAGGACGCGUAGGCGGGCUUGUAAGUCAGGUGUGAAAUCCUACAGCUUAACUGUAGAACUGCACUUGAAACUACGAGCCUAGAGGAUGGGAGGGGGAGAUGGAAUUAGUGGUGUAGGGGUAAAAUCCGUAGAUAUCACUAGGAAUACCUAAAGCGAAGGCGAUCUCCUGGAACAUAACUGACGCUAAGGCGUGAAAGCGUGGGGAGCAAACAGGAUUAGAUACCCCAGUAGUC
This 440-nucleotide ribosomal RNA is filed under the name uncultured bacterium. Its description in RNAcentral is "partial 16S ribosomal RNA". It matches the Rfam family "Bacterial small subunit ribosomal RNA", at positions 339 to 795 of the family's 1533-position model. The record is from RNAcentral.